This 301-nucleotide ribosomal RNA is filed under the name uncultured bacterium. RNAcentral describes it as "partial 16S ribosomal RNA". It matches the Rfam family "Bacterial small subunit ribosomal RNA", at positions 509 to 809 of the family's 1533-position model. The record is from RNAcentral.
CAGUAGCCGCGGGAAUACGAAGGGUGCAAGCGUUACUCGGAAUUACUGGGCGUAAAGCGUGCGUAGGUGGUGGUUUAAGUCCGUUGUGAAAGCCCUGGGCUCAACCUGGGAAUUGCAGUGGAUACUGGAUCACUAGAGUGUGGUAGAGGAUAGUGGAAUUUCCGGUGUAGCAGUGAAAUGCGUAGAGAUCGGAAGGAACAUCUGUGGCGAAGGCGACUAUCUGGGCCAACACUGACACUGAGGCACGAAAGCGUGGGGAGCAAACAGGAUUAGAUACCCCAGUAGUCCCUGUCUCUUAUAU